This 492-nucleotide ribosomal RNA is filed under the name uncultured bacterium. RNAcentral's name for it is "partial 16S ribosomal RNA". It matches the Rfam family "Bacterial small subunit ribosomal RNA", at positions 29 to 507 of the family's 1533-position model. The record is from RNAcentral.
AAUGAACGCUGGCGGUAUGCCUAACACAUGCAAGUCGAACGGCAGCACAGUAAGAGCUUGCUCUUACGUGCGUCGAGUGUCGGACGCGUGAGGAAUACAUCGGAAUCUACUUUUUCGUGGGUGAUAACGUAGGGAAACUUACGCUAAUACCACAUACGACCUACGAGUGAAAGCAGGCGAUCUUCUGACCUUGCGCGAUUGAAUGAGCCGAUCUUGGAUUAGCUAGUUGGCUGGGUAAAGGCCCACCAAGGCGACGAUCCGUAGCUGGUCUGACAGGAUGUUCACAUAGACUGGAAGUGAGACAGGGUCGCGACUCCUACGGGGGGAAGCAGUGGGGAAUAUUGGGGGAUGGGGGCAAGCCUGAUACAGCAAUACCGGGUGAGGGAAGAAGGACUUCGGGUUGUAAAGCCCUUUAGUUGGGAAAGAAAAGCAGCAGGUUAAUACCCCGAUGUUCUGACGGUACCCAAAGAAUAAGCACCGGCUAACUUCGUG